CCGAGUGAGGGUGCGGUCGUCUUCGGACGACGGCCCGAACCUCCCAACCCUGUGUCUACCGUACCUUGUCGUUGCUUCGGCGGACCGGUCUCACGACCGCCGGGCGUUCCACCGCCUGGAGAGCGUCCGCCGAUGGCCCAACUACACAACUCUUGUACCGAAAUAUGUCGUCUGAAUCAGUGAUUAUUUAAUCAAAAACA
This 200-nucleotide unclassified non-coding RNA is filed under the name uncultured Chaetothyriales. RNAcentral's name for it is "sequence contains ITS1". The record is from RNAcentral. Lineage: Eukaryota; Fungi; Ascomycota; Eurotiomycetes; Chaetothyriales.